This 253-nucleotide ribosomal RNA is filed under the name uncultured bacterium. RNAcentral describes it as "partial 16S ribosomal RNA". It matches the Rfam family "Bacterial small subunit ribosomal RNA", at positions 524 to 776 of the family's 1533-position model. The record is from RNAcentral.
UACAGGGGGUGCAAACGUUGCUCGGAAUUAUUGGGCGUAAAGCGCGCGUAGGCGGCUAUCUAAGUCGGAUGUGAAAGCCCCUGGCUUAACUGGGGAAGUGCACCCGAAACUGGGUAGCUAGAGUGCGAAAGAGGGUCGCGGAAUUCCCGGUGUAGAGGUGAAAUUCGUAGAUAUCGGGAGGAACACCGGUGGCGAAGGCGGCGACCUGGGUCGACACUGACGCUGAGGCGCGAAAGCGUGGGGAGCAAACAGG